Molecule: long non-coding RNA, 5410 nt
Organism: Oxyura jamaicensis (ruddy duck)
Lineage: Eukaryota; Metazoa; Chordata; Aves; Anseriformes; Anatidae
Exons: 4
Source: RefSeq, a predicted model, not a curated record
AUAUAUAUAUAAAUAAUAUAUAUUCCCCUCUGCUAGAAUUCUCUCAUCCUUUGACAGAAUUCUUUCAAAUUGCAUUCCCAAUUCCUCCAAGCUCCAAUGAGGAGCUCAUAAUUCAGCAGUGACCAGACUUCUGUAUGUGCUUAUCUCAGGGCAAAGCACUUGCAGCAAGCAUUGCAGUGUGUGAUUCUUGGUGGAUUUUAAAAUGCAUCCGGGCUUUGGAGCUGACCUGGGAGGUGAGUUACUGCCAGCUUGGCCACAUGUUGGCAGGACCCUCUGACCUCUGCUUGUGGCAGUGGCAGCAGUCCCUUUUGUAAGUAAGAAUUGUGUUCUUUGAAGUUUGUUGUUGUUGUCUUGGUGCUGUGUUUGGGAGCAUGGAUUAAGCUAAAUAUCUUACUGGUUUGGAGCUGAUGCCACUCUGCCUCACCAGAGCCAGAAGGACAAGUGGACAGGUCGUUUUCUGCUUUGUUAAGAGAUCUGAAGGUCAGAGCAUCAAAAUGGUAAUUUCAAUCAGAGCCAGCCUAGCUGCUCUGCAGUCUAACAGAGCUACUGUAGGCUGUAGGUCUUAAUGCAUGCAGAGACUGUGAUCUAAUUCUAAGUGCUGCUUGUUGGGUCAGAUCUGGUUGAGUCAAACCUUGAUGUUUCAUCCCAUCAGGUCAUUCCUGAGAGGCUGCCUCCCUGCAGCAAACAAAAUACAUAGAAGGACAGAAAUGGAGACCUUGCUUUGCUGUACAAGAACAAAAUUUCUUGUUAAGGAUUACCAUUUAGAAAAUAAUCCACAGUUGCUUUUAGUGUAAUCUCAGCAGACAUACUUUAUUCACUAUGGAAGCUUUUGCAUUACUAUCAAGUACCACACAAAGCCAAUCCUUGCAAAAAUUGAUAGGGGUAAAAACUGGGGAUUGGAAGGAAGAGGAUGGAUUAAUUUAUUCUUGUCAUUCGAUUAAGUCCAGUAAUGCUAAGCAGCAUGAUGUUGACUACAACGGGAGGGAGGCACUGUUGUGAAAUCAGUUUUAUCCUCAAACAAGAGAGGAAUUCACCAUGGCUUGAUUUCACAUAUAAAUACAAGAACUUACUGUGACUGUAUAAUAACUAAUAGGGGUUUGUAGGCACUUGAAAGAACAAUAGUAUAUUUAAAGUAAAUAUACAGAGGCGUUUAGAACCUUAAUAUAACCCUCCCCUGCUGCACAAGUGUGUGCCCAGCCCCAGCUCACUAUCAGCAACAGCAUUUAUAUAGCAACAAUGAGUAACAUUUUUCAAGAUACCAUAGGUACUGUAUUAGAAGAAAAACAAACAAACAAAUUAGCAAAAUGAAAGCAGAGCACAGCACUUAAUCACGUAGUUGUCUCAUUUAAAUCAGUGGGUUGACUCAUUUUCCUAUAAUCAUGCAUGUUUUUAAGAUACGGUUGGUAUGUCACGUGUGUGUAAUCUGAUAAUCGUGUCUAUCCAUUUCCCUUGUGUUUGUCCUACCUUCAGGGAAAGGACUGUUCUUUUGUUACCUGUUGUAGGGGCCAGCAUAGGUAGGUGCAAGACAAGAGCUUGUAAGCACUACAAUAGGAUGCACAGUAACAGAGCCUUAGCUAAAAACAAGUUAAUUGAUGCUGAAGGGAUGGCAAAGGGCAGAAGUUGCCUUAUCACAGCUAUAUGUGGCAACCUUGCAGUGAAAAGUGAUGGGGUAGCAGGGUAAACAGCCUCUGCCACCUUCAGUGAAACCAGUGGCAGCCAGGCCAGGUAGGCACUAUUACAAGUAGGGAGCUCUGGCAGAGAGGGGGAGUGCAGGUGGUGGGGAACAGUAGUAAAAUGAUGUGGUUUAUGUUACUGGUGUCCUGUCUUUUAUUUACUUUAGUCUGCUGGCAGGAUGUUUCUCUGUAAACAUUACCACAAAACACUUAAACGGGAAUAAAAGUAACUUUUAUUGAAGGAAUUUAAAAGUAGUCUCUGGAAAACAUGCAAGAAACGCCAUGUGGACUCCACAUCUUCUUCAAAGUAGACGGAACACAGCAGGAAUCUACCACUGUCACCAAAAACAAAUUCAAACUGCACCUUUUAAUAUUUAUAUAAUUGAAAGUACAAAUCAAGAUUGCUGCCUGAAAGCACUCACAUUUAAAGACAGUAAAAGGGUCCAAGUCGCCUUUUCAAACUUGUAAUAGAACAUGUAACACCAAAUUAAGCCCGUAGUUCUGGCAUAAACCAGCAACAUCAGGACAAUAGCGCUUACCACAUAUUGCAAAAUAUAACUUUCCAUUCUUUGGACUAAUUAGAGAGGCAGCCAGUAGCACCAGUAUGGUUCUGUCAGCAUUUCCACAAUAAAACCCCCUUUUCAGGGCUUUAUAACUCGGCUGUAAAAAAUUAGCUUCAGGCUGCAGCUUGGCAUGCCUUGGUUCAGCCCAGCAGCACGUCGAGUUGUACAUGUGGUUAUGUGUGUGGUUUGUUGAUUGUUUCCUAAAUACAAAUUUUCAUUGAAAUUAGUUUUGCUACUUCUUGGAAGACAGUAAUAAAAGUCACCAAUGUUUAAAUGAGUGCAGUUAUAUUCUUUGGCAGUCUCUCGCAGCGAGUUAAUUGUUAAUAGUAUGAAUGUUUGAGGUGAGAAGCAUACAGCCUUGUGACACUUUUUUAUUUUAAAUUAAACCAUCUCAAGGAAAGUUUAAAAGAAGGUUUCUGCACUUGCACGUUGAUCUUGUUCCACAGGGCGUGAUCCUGACUCCAAGAGAGACAUCAUGCAGCAGCUUUGAUGGAAAGGGCCCCACAAGAGCAGCUCAAAUGAGGGCACAGGUAUUCAGGGAGUCCCUGGAACAGCUGUGCCCCAGCGAGGGCUGGUGUACCCCUGGGCUGCAGGGGUGUCGAAGCCAUGAAAUGUGCAGGUGGGGAAGUCAUUGACAUUUUCCUCCCCGGUACACACAGCAGUGACAAAGUCAGCCUCUCCAAGGCUCGUACCAUGGGAGGUACUGAGGGAUCUCUUACACUCGUGGGUCAUCAGCCAACGUUCAUUAAAUGUCUGUGUUACGGACCAACACAGUGCACUGGUUAAAAGUGUGGGAUACCCCAUCCAUGCCCACGAACUUUGAAGUGAAUUGGGUAGCAUCAAUAAUCUCAUGACAAAUUCUUCUGUUUCAGUCUCACUGUGGUCUGUAGAAAUGCCCCAAAGUCAGGAUGCCUGCUACCAUGCAGCUGGAAAUGCUGCGGCAUGGAGAGAAAAGUGGAAGUGGAAAGGAAAUCAGAAAGGCUGGUUGCACACAACCUGACUGAACAGGAACCCAAAGUCUGCUGUCAGUGGCUUUGCUGAGAUCACAGGAGUAAUGGAAGACAAAAAUCAAGCUACAUCCUGGCUGCACAGAGCUGGCUAUUUGAGGAAAUGCAUGCAUCCGGCUGGAAUCAGACGUGGCACAAAAGCCAGCAGUAGAAAACACCACAUCGUGGUAUUAGCAAUCUUGCCUGCCCGUGCUGAAGUUUUGCAGGCUUGUGCUGCACCGACUCCAUUGCCCCAUGGCCACUGCCCACUCCCUGCAUCAGCUUGUUGCCUCCAACUGCUCCCCGGUCAUCCUGGUGGAAAACAGGGACCCUGGGGAAGUCAUAGCACUGUGCUAGCUGUGGGUUUGGUCCUCUGUAAAAAGAGGCCGGCAUCCCUCCUUUCCCUCUCUUUCUCUCUGUCAAGAAAUUUCCAUCUAAAAUGCAGCUACUCAUACAACUCUCUUCAUCUUUUUUAUCUGAAGCUCUCAGUCUCCUGAUGAUGAGCAAAAGCUAAAUUAUACAAACUAACAGAAAGAGGAUGCCAGUUAUGAUUAGGCUAAAUUUAAUGCACUCUCCCAUGUAUUUUAAUGCUUUAUGUAUAGCUAUGCGUGCAGGUAAAGGGACAGAUUGAAAAUAGUCAGGAAAAUGGAAGGAAAUGAAGUUCGUAGCAAAAGCUGUGUUUCACCAAAUGGAAAGCAUUUAAAGACUGGGAAUUGCCUCUUUCUUUCACCCAUGUUUCCCUCCAAACUCUAUCAGCCAACUUUCUGCUAACCCUCCCUCUGCUUUUAGUUAUCAACUUGCUUUUUUUUUUAUCCCAUUCAUAGGAAAAGAAAGCAAGCAGACAAGAAUGAAAAACAGAAUUAGAUAAAUAUCUGGCAGUGUUUCAUGAGAAGCAUAUCCUAGAGAGAGCAACAACAAUCUCAAUAAGGUAACAGAACGGUGCUAUUAUUUACUAUCACCUCUAACAAAAUGAGUUUUUCUGCCUUCUGUCGCUUGAAUACUCGGUGAGUACCAGGCCGCUUGGAAAUACCUGGCUGAUCUGAGCUGAACCUGGAAGGCUUUGACGCGCUAGCAGAAACCACGCGUCGUUUUGCCUCAUCCUGUAACAGGCAUCUUUUAUUUUGCUGAACUUCGGGUACCCAGGCUCAGACCAAAGACGGCCCUUCCUCCCAGGUGCCUACCCAGAAAAAAAUAAAUAAAUAAAAAGGAAAAACACCCGCAGUCCCGGCCCCGUCCUCCGUGGGACCCCCCGUGCAGCCGCAUGGGGCUGGGACCCAGCGCUGCGGCCGCGGCCCCGGCCCCGCUCGGCCCGGCCCGGCCCCGGUGCGCGGCGGUUCCGCGGUGCGCUGGAGACCCCUGUCGGCGCCUCGCCGCAAGGCCGGCCUCUAGGAGCCGUCCGCCAGAGCGAACUUGGUGCUUUUACGGCCGGCGAGGGAAGGUGCCGAGCGCAGGCACAACUUUGUGGUUCUUCUGGGGAGGCUUGACCACAGGAAGCCCUCCGUGCUCGGCUUGUUGGACGCGCACAGACAGUAAUAUCUGUAACACUGAAAUGCCUCUGGUCUGGCUGAAGAAAUUUGUUUUGGCGAAAUUGGUGUUGGCAAAAUCCUGGUUUGUCAACCCGAGCUGCGCUAAGUAGUUGCUGUUUGUAAUUAUAUCGAUGGGAAUCCUCACGCUGCUUCUCUCCUGUGGCAUAAUUCAUGCAGCCCAUGUGUGGUCACUUAAUGCCCGCAUGACCAAAUCGCUCAAAACGAGGAAUGUAGAGCUGACUGCACGACCCAGCUGAGUACCAAACCCAUUUGUUUUUAAUAACACAGUGUGAGAUGCCCGGUGUUAUAUAAUAUGCAUUCCCACUCUUUUCUUUUGCAUGGUGAUCGCUGGUAGCUGUUAUUUCUCACCUCAGGUCAUGAAAAGUAUUUUAUCGUUACUCUAUUUGCUAUACAAAUAUAAACAAAUAUAGAAGCACGCGUUCUGCUGCUGAUCUUUUGUGCACGCAGCUCCCCUUACAAGCUGGGGGAAUGUUUCAUGUGAAAGGACUUCCAAGUCAGGCGAUUUGGACGCUAAGCUUAUUAGAAAGCAGCGUUAUCUGAUGAGCUGCAGCGCGUCCUAAAUUGACAGAGCCUUGUUGUGGGCACAAUGCUCCUGCUUAGCAUAUAUGUAUUCAUUUUCCCCCAGAAUCUGGAAAUAUCUA